UAUUUUAAACAAUGUGCGGUGGUAGGGUCGCAGCGUGGAACAGGCGUAGCAGAAAAACUGAAAUUCGACGUUACUCUACGAUUUUAAUAAAACCGAAAACCUUUGUUAAAAUUUCAUAAGCUGAACACUUUUGCAAAAUUAUUUACUUUUGCUUGGCGUUUCCAAAUUCAAAUAAACACUCUAAAAGUAAUAAGAUCAGAAGCUGCUUGCUUCCACACAAAGUAAUUUGA
Molecule: non-coding RNA, 230 nt
Organism: Schizosaccharomyces pombe (fission yeast)
Lineage: Eukaryota; Fungi; Ascomycota; Schizosaccharomycetes; Schizosaccharomycetales; Schizosaccharomycetaceae
Source: the annotation of a GenBank genome assembly